This is a non-coding RNA of Acanthosepion pharaonis, 109 nucleotides long. Lineage: Eukaryota; Metazoa; Mollusca; Cephalopoda; Sepiida; Sepiidae. The record is from the annotation of a GenBank genome assembly.
GCCAUAUAGCAUUGUAACACCAGUUCUCGUACCAUCACCGAAGUUAAGCAGCGUCGGGCCUGGUCAAUACCUAGAUGGGUGACCGCUUGGGAAAACCAGGUGUUGUAAG